This 427-nucleotide ribosomal RNA is filed under the name Ruegeria sp. EF1C-B905. RNAcentral's name for it is "bacterial SSU rRNA". It matches the Rfam family "Bacterial small subunit ribosomal RNA", at positions 1 to 475 of the family's 1533-position model. The record is from RNAcentral. Lineage: Bacteria; Pseudomonadati; Pseudomonadota; Alphaproteobacteria; Rhodobacterales; Roseobacteraceae.
UAGAGUUUGAUCCUGGCUCAGAACGAACGCUGGCGGCAGGCCUAACACAUGCAAGUCGAGCGCGCCUUUCGGGGUGAGCGGCGGACGGGUUAGUAACGCGUGGGAAUAUGCCCAAAGGUACGGAAUAGCCUCUGGAAACGGAGAGUAAUACCGUAUGUGCCCUUCGGGGGAAAGAUUUAUCGCCUUUGGAUUAGCCCGCGUUAGAUUAGGUAGUUGGUGGGGUAAUGGCCUACCAAGCCUACGAUCUAUAGCUGGUUUUAGAGGAUGAUCAGCAACACUGGGACUGAGACACGGCCCAGACUCCUACGGGAGGCAGCAGUGGGGAAUCUUGGACAAUGGGGGCAACCCUGAUCCAGCCAUGCCGCGUGAGUGAUGAAGGCCUUAGGGUCGUAAAGGCUCCUUUUCGCCCCUGUGAAGAUAAUGACCG